GAGAUUCUAGUAAAAUAAUAUUACAUUGCUUUGUCAGGGCAAAAUUGUAGGUUUAAAUCCCACGAACCUUA
RNAcentral lists this transfer RNA (71 nucleotides) under Bathytoshia brevicaudata (pitted stingray). RNAcentral describes it as "tRNA-Asp". It matches the Rfam family "tRNA". Rfam says of the family: Transfer RNA (tRNA) molecules are approximately 80 nucleotides in length. Their secondary structure includes four short double-helical elements and three loops (D, anti-codon, and T loops). The record is from RNAcentral. Lineage: Eukaryota; Metazoa; Chordata; Chondrichthyes; Myliobatiformes; Dasyatidae.